GAGUCGGUAGUGCAACGGGUAGAGCACACGAUCCCGGAUAGAAUGAAAUGCGGGUUCAAGUCCCGCCUGACGUUUCU
This is a non-coding RNA of Parelaphostrongylus tenuis, 77 nucleotides long. NCBI's taxonomy places the organism in Eukaryota, Metazoa, Nematoda, Chromadorea, Rhabditida, Metastrongylidae. The record is from the annotation of a GenBank genome assembly.